GACGAACGCUGGCGGCGUGCUUAACACAUGCAAGUCGAACGGAAAGGCCCUGCUUUUGUGUGGUGCUCGAGUGGCGAACGGGUGAGUAACACGUGAGUAACCUGCCCUUGACGUUGGGAUAACUUCAGGAAACUUGGGCUAAUACCGGAUAGGAGCUCCUGCUGCAUGGUGGGGGUUGGAAAGUUUCGGCGGUUGGGGAUGGACUCGCGGCUUAUCAGCUUGUUGGUGGGGUAGUGGCUUACCAAGGCUUUGACGGGUAGCCGGCCUGUGAGGGUGACCGGCCACCUUGGGACUGAGAUACGGACCAGACUCCUACGGGAGGCAGCAGUGGGGAAUAUUGCACAAUGGGCGGAAGCCUGAUGCAGCAACGCCGCGUGCGGGAUGACGGCCUUCGGGUUGUAAAACGCUUUCGCCUGUGACGAAGCGUGAGUGACGGUAAUGGGUAAAGAAGCACCGGCUAACUACGUG
This 468-nucleotide ribosomal RNA is filed under the name uncultured bacterium. RNAcentral's name for it is "partial 16S ribosomal RNA". It matches the Rfam family "Bacterial small subunit ribosomal RNA", at positions 28 to 507 of the family's 1533-position model. The record is from RNAcentral.